This 482-nucleotide ribosomal RNA is filed under the name uncultured bacterium. RNAcentral describes it as "partial 16S ribosomal RNA". It matches the Rfam family "Bacterial small subunit ribosomal RNA", at positions 30 to 507 of the family's 1533-position model. The record is from RNAcentral.
AUUGAACGCUGGCGGCAUGCCUUACACAUGCAAGUCGAACGGUAACGGGCCUUCGGGUGCCGACGAGUGGCGAACGGGUGAGUAAUACAUCGGAACGUGCCCGAUCGUGGGGGAUAACGAGGCGAAAGCUUUGCUAAUACCGCAUACGAUCUACGGAUGAAAGCAGGGGACCGCAAGGCCUUGCGCGGACGGAGCGGCCGAUGGCAGAUUAGGUAGUUGGUGGGAUAAAAGCUUACCAAGCCGACGAUCUGUAGCUGGUCUGAGAGGAUGAUCAGCCACACUGGGACUGAGACACGGCCCAGACUCCUACGGGAGGCAGCAGUGGGGAAUUUUGGACAAUGGGCGCAAGCCUGAUCCAGCCAUGCCGCGUGAAGGAUGAAGGCCUUCGGGUUGUAAAAUGCUUUUGUACGGAACGAAAAGCCUUCUUUUAAUACAGGAGGGUCAUGACGGUACCGUAAGAAUAAGCACCGGCUAACUACGUG